This 98-nucleotide non-coding RNA is filed under the name Clostridiales bacterium. RNAcentral's name for it is "TPP". It matches the Rfam family "TPP riboswitch aptamer (THI element)". From Rfam's summary of the family: Vitamin B(1) in its active form thiamin pyrophosphate (TPP) is an essential coenzyme that is synthesised by coupling of pyrimidine and thiazole moieties in bacteria. The previously detected thiamin-regulatory element, thi box was extended, resulting in a new, highly conserved RNA secondary structure, the THI element, which is widely distributed in eubacteria and also occurs in some archaea. Analysis of operon structures identified a large number of new candidate thiamin-regulated genes, mostly transporters, in various prokaryotic organisms. RNAcentral also lists the same sequence under 1 other name. Lineage: Bacteria; Bacillati; Bacillota; Clostridia; Eubacteriales. The record is from RNAcentral.
AUCAAGUUGCAGGGGGACUCAUCCGAGUUGAGAAGGUAAAACCUGACCCUUAGAACCUGUCAGUUAACACUGUCGUAGGAAGCAUUCGAUAGCGGUUC